AUUGAACGCUGGCGGCAGGCCUAACACAUGCAAGUCGAGCGGAGCGGGGGACGGGCGAGUAAUGCCUAGGUAGCUGCCUGGUAGUGGGGGAUAAAGUCCGGAAACGGGCGCUAAUACAGCAUACUAUCAGAGGAGUCUAGGCUGGAUUGGUUAGUUGGUGGGGUAAAGGCCUACCAAGGCGACGAUCCGUAACUGGUCUGAGAGGGUGAUCAGUCACACUGGAACUGAGACACGGUCCAGACUCCUACGGGAGGCAGCAGUGGGGAAUAUUGGACAAUGGGCGAAAGCCUUAUCCAGCCAUGCCGCGUGUGUGAAGAAGGUCUUCGGAUUGUAAAGCACUUUAAGUUGGGAGGCGUUACCCGCAGAAGAAGCACCGGCUAACUCCGUGCCAGCAGCCGCGGUAAUUC
RNAcentral lists this ribosomal RNA (407 nucleotides) under uncultured bacterium. Its description in RNAcentral is "partial 16S ribosomal RNA". It matches the Rfam family "Bacterial small subunit ribosomal RNA", at positions 30 to 526 of the family's 1533-position model. The record is from RNAcentral.